Molecule: long non-coding RNA, 356 nt
Organism: Melitaea cinxia (Glanville fritillary)
Lineage: Eukaryota; Metazoa; Arthropoda; Insecta; Lepidoptera; Nymphalidae
Exons: 2
Source: RefSeq, a predicted model, not a curated record
CUAUUACAGCUUCGGUCGCAUCAUUCAUUCGGCCUUCGGAAUUACAGUCACCAAGCAGUCGGUCGAUGUACUUGCCGAAAUUGCAGAAGUUUGGAUAAGCACUGGAGCCGAGGGCAAACACAGCGAAGCGGACGUUGCUCAACGGACCAAAACUGUCUAUUGAUGUUGCAUCAGUUGCGCUUCCUAUAUUAAUUUCUAAUUGUUAAUAAUGUUAUUAAAAACGGAAUAAUCGAUUAUUUUAACACAUUAAAGAUGGGAUUGGAUUUAUAUUUAAGAUGUUAUUAGUAUUAGUGUUAAAUUUACAAAAUAAGUAACAUUUAUUUUAAUACAAAAAUACAUUUAUGACAUCAUUAGUA